UUAAGCGACCAAGCGUACACGGUGGAUGCCCUGGCAGUCAGAGGCGAUGAAGGACGUGCUAAUCUGCGAUAAGCGCCGGUAAGGUGAUAUGAACCGUUAUAACCGGCGAUUUCCGAAUGGGGAAACCCAGUGUGAUUCGUCACACUAUCAUUACGUGAAUACAUAGCGUAAUGAAGCGAACCGGGGGAACUGAAACAUCUAAGUACCCCGAGGAAAAGAAAUCAACCGAGAUUCCCCCAGUAGCGGCGAGCGAACGGGGAGGAGCCCAGAGCCUGAAUCAGCAUGUGUGUUAGUGGAAGCGUCUGGAAAGGCGCGCGAUACAGGGUGACAGCCCCGUACACAAAAGCGCAUGUGCUGUGAGCUCGAUGAGUAGGGCGGGACACGUGGUAUCCUGUCUGAAUAUGGGGGGACCAUCCUCCAAGGCUAAAUACUCCUGACUGACCGAUAGUGAACCAGUACCGUGAGGGAAAGGCGAAAAGAACCCCGGCGAGGGGAGUGAAACAGAACCUGAAACCGUGUACGUACAAGCAGUGGGAGCACAGGUUUACCUGUGUGACUGCGUACCUUUUGUAUAAUGGGUCAGCGACUUAUAUUCUGUAGCAAGGUUAACCGCAUAGGGGAGCCGAAGGGAAACCGAGUCUUAAUUGGGCGUUAAGUUGCAGGGUAUAGACCCGAAACCCGGUGAUCUAGCCAUGGGCAGGUUGAAGGUUGGGUAACACUAACUGGAGGACCGAACCGACUAAUGUUGAAAAAUUAGCGGAUGACCUGUGGCUGGGGGUGAAAGGCCAAUCAAACCGGGAGAUAGCUGGUUCUCCCCGAAAGCUAUUUAGGUAGCGCCUCGUGAACUCAUCUCCGGGGGUAGAGCACUGUUUCGGCUAGGGGGCCAUCCCGGCUUACCAACCCGAUGCAAACUGCGAAUACCGGAGAAUGUUAUCACGGGAGACACACGGCGGGUGCUAACGUCCGUCGUGAAGAGGGAAACAACCCAGACCGCCAGCUAAGGUCCCAAAGUCAUGGUUAAGUGGGAAACGAUGUGGGAAGGCCCAGACAGCCAGGAUGUUGGCUUAGAAGCAGCCAUCAUUUAAAGAAAGCGUAAUAGCUCACUGGUCGAGUCGGCCUGCGCGGAAGAUGUAACGGGGCUAAACCAUGCACCGAAGCUGCGGCAGCGACACUGUGUGUUGUUGGGUAGGGGAGCGUUCUGUAAGCCGUUGAAGGUGUGUCGUGAGGCAUGCUGGAGGUAUCAGAAGUGCGAAUGCUGACAUAAGUAACGAUAAAGCGGGUGAAAAGCCCGCUCGCCGGAAGACCAAGGGUUCCUGUCCAACGUUAAUCGGGGCAGGGUGAGUCGACCCCUAAGGCGAGGCCGAAAGGCGUAGUCGAUGGGAAACGGGUUAAUAUUCCCGUACUUGGUGUUACUGCGAAGGGGGGACGGAGAAGGCUAUGUUGGCCGGGCGACGGUUGUCCCGGUUUAAGCGUGUAGGUGUGUGUUCCAGGUAAAUCCGGUUCACUUUAACACUGAGGCGUGAUGACGAGGCACCACGGUGCUGAAGCAACAAAUGCCCUGCUUCCAGGAAAAGCCUCUAAGCAUCAGGUAACAUCAAAUCGUACCCCAAACCGACACAGGUGGUCAGGUAGAGAAUACCAAGGCGCUUGAGAGAACUCGGGUGAAGGAACUAGGCAAAAUGGUGCCGUAACUUCGGGAGAAGGCACGCUGACACGUAGGUGAAGUGGUUUACCCAUGGAGCUGAAGUCAGUCGAAGAUACCAGCUGGCUGCAACUGUUUAUUAAAAACACAGCACUGUGCAAACACGAAAGUGGACGUAUACGGUGUGACGCCUGCCCGGUGCCGGAAGGUUAAUUGAUGGGGUCAGCGCAAGCGAAGCUCCUGAUCGAAGCCCCGGUAAACGGCGGCCGUAACUAUAACGGUCCUAAGGUAGCGAAAUUCCUUGUCGGGUAAGUUCCGACCUGCACGAAUGGCGUAAUGAUGGCCAGGCUGUCUCCACCCGAGACUCAGUGAAAUUGAACUCGCUGUGAAGAUGCAGUGUACCCGCGGCAAGACGGAAAGACCCCGUGAACCUUUACUAUAGCUUGACACUGAACAUUGAGCCUUGAUGUGUAGGAUAGGUGGGAGGCUUUGAAGCGUGGACGCCAGUCUGCGUGGAGCCGACCUUGAAAUACCACCCUUUAAUGUUUGAUGUUCUAACGUGGACCCGUUACCCGGGUUGCGGACAGUGUCUGGUGGGUAGUUUGACUGGGGCGGUCUCCUCCUAAAGAGUAACGGAGGAGCACGAAGGUUGGCUAAUCCUGGUCGGACAUCAGGAGGUUAGUGCAAUGGCAUAAGCCAGCUUGACUGCGAGCGUGACGGCGCGAGCAGGUGCGAAAGCAGGUCAUAGUGAUCCGGUGGUUCUGAAUGGAAGGGCCAUCGCUCAACGGAUAAAAGGUACUCCGGGGAUAACAGGCUGAUACCGCCCAAGAGUUCAUAUCGACGGCGGUGUUUGGCACCUCGAUGUCGGCUCAUCACAUCCUGGGGCUGAAGUAGGUCCCAAGGGUAUGGCUGUUCGCCAUUUAAAGUGGUACGCGAGCUGGGUUUAGAACGUCGUGAGACAGUUCGGUCCCUAUCUGCCGUGGGCGCUGGAGAAUUGAGGGGGGCUGCUCCUAGUACGAGAGGACCGGAGUGGACGCAUCACUGGUGUUCGGGUUGUCAUGCCAAUGGCACUGCCCGGUAGCUAAAUGCGGAAGAGAUAAGUGCUGAAAGCAUCUAAGCACGAAACUUGCCCCGAGAUGAGUUCUCCCUGAGACUUAGAGUCUCCUGAAGGAACGUUGAAGACGACGACGUUGAUAGGCCGGGUGUGUAAGCGCAGCGAUGCGUUGAGCUAACCGGUACUAAUGAACCGUGAGGCUUAACCUU
This 2905-nucleotide ribosomal RNA is filed under the name Salmonella enterica subsp. salamae serovar Greenside. Its description in RNAcentral is "bacterial LSU rRNA". It matches the Rfam family "Bacterial large subunit ribosomal RNA". The record is from RNAcentral. Lineage: Bacteria; Pseudomonadati; Pseudomonadota; Gammaproteobacteria; Enterobacterales; Enterobacteriaceae.